CCGUCUGCGACCCGGGAGAUGGACACCAGGGCGCCAGACUCUCUGGGAUUGGUUGAGAUUACAGGAAUUAUGUUUGGCAGUGUUGCUCUGUUCUGGUACCCUCUGGGAGAGCACCUCCCCUCCUCCACCUCCUCGCCCUUCCACAUGCCGACAUAGAAAGCCAUAAGACUGGAAGAGCACCUCCCCGCCCUUCCGUGUACAAACCAAUUGCCAAUGAAUGCUUGGAGGGAAAUCAGCUGAUGAAAGCUUGACUUGACAUGGACUGCUAUCAGCCAAUGUAUUGGGUUUGUGAGCUGAGCUUGACUUCGUUGCCUGCCUGAAUUAACAAUAUGCUUAAUUUUAACUAUAACAUUGUACUUUAAACAAUAUGUAAAUGGAAAAAUGUUGCCUACAUUUUGCAAAUUACAAGCCUUGCUGAAAUAGAACAAUCAUCUCGAGGGACAGGCCAAAAACCCAUCAGCAAAAAGUAAUUUUUGAUUGUUUAAAAUAAUUUUAAUUGGCUUUAAUUUGAUGCUAUAUUGAGGAAAGAAGACAUGGUAAUGCUUUGAAAUACAUAUUUGUUUGUUAUGACAGACAUUAUCUGUAAUUUUAUGACUGAAUAUUUCUUCCUCCACCAAUAAGAGGGUUACAGCAGUCUGGAUGCAGUCUGGAUGUGGGUUGUGGGUUAACACCUCCCCUGUGGUGCGGACUAUGUGUGUGUUCUGUAGUGUUUAAUCUGUAGAUCCUCAGUCGAUGUCAGUGAAGGCGACAGCUGCUGCAGAUUAGAGACACUUUAAUCUGACAGAUUAACUCCAGAUUAACACGAAUUAACUCU
Molecule: long non-coding RNA, 814 nt
Organism: Micropterus salmoides (largemouth bass)
Lineage: Eukaryota; Metazoa; Chordata; Actinopteri; Centrarchiformes; Centrarchidae
Exons: 2
Source: RefSeq, a predicted model, not a curated record